ACCUCCUUCCUUGAUUCAUAUAACAUUGGUAUGUAAACAUAACUUUUCUAUUAUAUUGUAAACAAGAAACUCUUAUCACCUAGUGUUAUUUUUACGUACCUCGUCAGUCAAUUUGAUAUUCUUUCUUGUCUCAUGCAGAUUUUCUAUGCCUUUAGUCUCAAUUUCAGAUGUGAUGUCUGAUUGUUCUAGUUGAGGUUUUGUUUCAAUAGUAACUUGAUCUUCUAUCACGGGUUCGAGUUCUCCAUGAUUCUAUUUUGCAAAAAAAGAACACAGAGAGAUGGGAUGGGAUGGCACUAAAUUAGAAACAAUAAUCUUGUUGAUAGCUAGAGUGAACAUUCGUACAAGAAAAGAUGUUCUUUUAAUUUUCUAAA
This is a long non-coding RNA of Helianthus annuus (common sunflower), 371 nucleotides long. RefSeq lists it as uncharacterized. Lineage: Eukaryota; Viridiplantae; Streptophyta; Magnoliopsida; Asterales; Asteraceae. The transcript has 2 exons. The record is from RefSeq and is a predicted model, not a curated record.